GGUAUAGCUCAGCUGGUUAGAGCGCCAGGUUGUGGCCCUGGAGGUCAUGGGUUCGAACCCCACUAC
This 66-nucleotide transfer RNA is filed under the name pig gut metagenome. It matches the Rfam family "tRNA", at positions 5 to 66 of the family's 71-position model. From Rfam's summary of the family: Transfer RNA (tRNA) molecules are approximately 80 nucleotides in length. The record is from RNAcentral.